CUCUCCCUUCCUACCUCUCUCACGCGCACCAUGAACUACUGACUAGGUAGGCUUCGAGAAUAAUCCUAACAAAUGAAAAGGGGAGAGGUGAAGCUGGGGGGAUUUUUCAGUCGUCCUUUCCCCUCUAUAUGAGUUAAAGCGUAUUCUUCUUUUGUCCCCCUUCCGCGAGAAUAUCCUUUGUUUAUCUCUUAGAGUGAUGCGAGCAAGUUACACGAAGGAAUCUAUACUGAUUUUUAGAGACCUCAGUUUCCUCACGUAUGUUCUAACCCGCGAUUCCUGGCAGAUCUGCUCCAACCAAUGUUGGAAAUGCAUAAUCAGGAUUGUACCCGUCUUAUUUGGAUAGAUAGAAUUGCAGUGGAUUUGGGCGGGGUUUUAGAGGGAAAUUAGUUCAUUCCCUCUUCAAGUCUUCAGGAAUGGGUUUAUCCAAAGCCCUAAAGAUGUGGUGUCCACAUUUCAAUGGGCUGCAGAUUUGCUUGAUAAAGUCGUAUAGAUUUUCUGUUGAUGGAGAUGUCUAGAUACGCUGUUUCUUUUUACAGUUUGUUUGUAUUGAGAGUAGCUUACUGGUGGAAGUGUGGAACGCUUGCUGGAUGUAUUGCUAGCAUGGUUACCUUGUCACUCUGUAUCUCGUUCCUAUCAAUGAUUAAAUCUGAGGCAGGUCUUCACUAUGGUUACUGCUUAGUCCCCUUUCUAAGGUAGAUCUAUCACUAUGGGGACUGCUUAGUCUUGCCUUUUUGACUUUUCUCCUCAGUCCUCGUUCUGAGGUAGAUCUAUCACUAUGGGCACUGCUAAUUCUUGACUUUUUGACUUUUCUGCUCAGUCCCCGUUCUAGUUUGUGUUAAGCACGCUACCCGUUGUAUUUCCGUUACAUGUUAAUGGACAUGGGGAUGGUUUCAAUUCGAAAAAAUCAUAGUAGGCAAAUUUGGAAAGGGGUGAUGUGACUCAAAUCCUAAUCCUUAGGAUUUUUUUUCAAUUUAAAUUCUACCACAAAAGUUCCUGAGGUGAUUACCACUUCCAAGCUUGUUGGCACUGCUAAAUGCUCACUAUCUGUGGUCUGUACUGUUCUAGUGUUCAACUUCCUGCAAUGAAACAAUUGAUUUUUUUACGACUUAUAAAGUUGAUGUCAUA
Molecule: long non-coding RNA, 1125 nt
Organism: Zea mays
Lineage: Eukaryota; Viridiplantae; Streptophyta; Magnoliopsida; Poales; Poaceae
Exons: 2
Source: RefSeq, a predicted model, not a curated record